UACAGAGGGUGCGAGCGUUAAUCGGAAUUACUGGGCGUAAAGCGUGCGCAGACGGUCACGUAAGUCGGGUGUGAAAGCCCCGGGCUCAACCUGGGAAUUGCAUUCGAGACUGCGUGGCUAGGGUGCGGAAGAGGGAAGCGGAAUUUCCGGUGUAGCGGUGAAAUGCGUAGAUAUCGGAAGGAACACCAGUGGCGAAAGCGGCUUCCUGGUCCAGCACCGACGUCAGGCACGAAAGUCGUGGGGAGCAAACAGG
This 253-nucleotide ribosomal RNA is filed under the name uncultured bacterium. RNAcentral describes it as "partial 16S ribosomal RNA". It matches the Rfam family "Bacterial small subunit ribosomal RNA", at positions 524 to 776 of the family's 1533-position model. The record is from RNAcentral.